AACGAACGCUGGCGGCAUGCCUAACACAUGCAAGUCGAACGAGACCUUCGGGUCUAGUGGCGCACGGGUGCGUAACGCGUGGGAAUCUGCCCUUGGGUUCGGAAUAACAGUUGGAAACGACUGCUAAUACCGGAUGAUGACGUAAGUCCAAAGAUUUAUCGCCCAGGGAUGAGCCCGCGUAGGAUUAGCUAGUUGGUGGGGUAAAGGCCUACCAAGGCGACGAUCCUUAGCUGGUCUGAGAGGAUGAUCAGCCACACUGGGACUGAGACACGCCCCAGACUCCUACGGGAGGCAGCAGUGGGGAAUAUUGGACAAUGGGCGAAAGCCUGAUCCAGCAAUGCCGCGUGAGUGAUGAAGGCCUUAGGGUUGUAAAGCUCUUUUACCCGGGAUGAUAAUGACAGUACCGGGAGAAUAAGCCCCGGCUAACUCCGU
This 432-nucleotide ribosomal RNA is filed under the name uncultured bacterium. RNAcentral's name for it is "partial 16S ribosomal RNA". It matches the Rfam family "Bacterial small subunit ribosomal RNA", at positions 29 to 506 of the family's 1533-position model. The record is from RNAcentral.